CUCUGUGGCACUGACUCCUCUUUCCAUAGGGACAUCAUACAACAGUCGCCUUUAUCUGAGGUUGUGCAAAGAGGGAUGGAGGAGAAAACAAUGGAGAAUCCCUGGCAGAUUUCCCCAGGACGAGAGAAGGAUAUCCAAUUGCUCAUCAGGGAAGGUGCUAGGUCUCCCAGCCAGACGCCCUCAGAGGCCGGUGUCAAGUCUCCCUCACCUCUGUGAUGUGAAGUCAGCUCGUUCAUGACCUGGGCAGGCAGAGGGUCAGAGGGGCAGAUGGAGCACUCCUGGCCAGAUGAAGGGCUGUACAUGAGGUUUCCAGCUGCAAAUAAGCAUUAUCUGGUCCUGGCAGAUGGUAGAUGCACCUGACAACAAUAACUUAACCAUACCCUGAGAAUGACCCUGGAUGGCAGAUGUACCUGACAGCAGUGGCGUGGUUUGAGAAAUGAGAGUUGCACAAAGAGGUUUCUGUGGGGAGGGUGCCAAAUGAAGGUACUAUAUAAGCUGCAUGCUUUUUUUUUUUUUUUUUUUGAGACAGAGUCUCGCUCUGUUACCCAGGCUGGACUGCAAUGAUGUGAUCUCGGCUCACUGCAACCUCUGCCUCCCGGGUUCAAGUGGUUCUCUCACCUCUGCCUCCUGAGUAGCUGGGACUGCAGGCACAUGCCACCAUGCCUGGCUAAUUUUUGUAUCUUUAGUAGAGAUGGGGUUUCACCAUAUUGGCCAGGCUGGUCUUGAACUCCUGACCUCAAGUGAUCCACCCGCCUCGGCCUUCCAAAGUGCUGGGAUUACAGGCGUGAGCCACCAUGCCUGGCCAAGCUGCAUGCUUUUUGCAAGCAAUUGUAGUUCUUCUGUCUAGCCCACAGUCACUGGACUGUCCCUGUAUGUAAGUUCCCCUAAAUAAAACCCUAUGUCUCUUUUGCUGGCUUUGGGUCUCUUCUUCAGCCUCUUAAACCUGGUGCCAUCACUAUUGGAGUGAACAGGGGUCUAGCACAACAGUGGGGACCCA
RNAcentral lists this long non-coding RNA (997 nucleotides) under Homo sapiens (human). RNAcentral describes it as "HSALNT0094586". The record is from RNAcentral. Lineage: Eukaryota; Metazoa; Chordata; Mammalia; Primates; Hominidae.